GACUGGAGCUUGGAGGUGUGCUGUAAGACUUCAAAGAUCAGAGAACUGAAGUGAGGGAGACUCCCUCCCCAGUGUCUAAGGACUGAAGGUACCCCACUCUAGGGGGAAGAGGAUGGGCCAAUAGAGAGACCGAGAGAGAGACACUGUGCUAGGAGUUUGUUAGCGGGACCCCGAAUAUACAAAUCAAACUUCCAGCUUCAGCCGUGGGCCUUAUCGUCAUCUCUCUAUUGUACAGCAUCACACACACUACCUUAACUAGUAACAAUCAUCAUUAUUAACAACCUAUAUAAGUAUCUGGGAACAUACAAAUUGCCAGGCUGGAUCAGAGCCAAGGUCCAUCAAGACCAAUAUGCUGUCUCAGGCAGUGGCCAGAUCCAGAUGUCUGAGAGGAAGGGGCAAGAAACUUCAUAGUAGGCACAUGUGGGACAAUCUGCCCUCCAUUAUAGGUUCCACUGUGGUCUCACAGAGUUA
Long non-coding RNA from Chelonia mydas (Green sea turtle), 471 nucleotides. RefSeq lists it as uncharacterized. The transcript is spliced from 3 exons. The record is from RefSeq and is a predicted model, not a curated record. NCBI's taxonomy places the organism in Eukaryota, Metazoa, Chordata, Testudines, Cheloniidae.